GAUGAAGAACGUAGUGAAAUGCGAUACUUGGUGUGAAUUGCAGAAUCCCGUGAACCAUCGAGUCUUUGAACGCAAGUUGCGCCCGAAGCCAUUAGGCCGAGGGCACGCCUGCCUGGGCGUCACACGUCGUUGCCCCCCCAUCUACUCCUUCGGGAUUGCGGGGGGCGGAUGAUGGCCUCUCGUGCGCCUCGUCGCGCGGUUGGCCUAAAUGCCAAGUCCUCGGCGACGCACGCCACGACAAUCGGUGGUUGCGAAACCUCGGUUGCCUGUCGUGUGUGGUCGUCGCGCAUCGAGGGCUCGAAAAAAUUGCCGGGCUUCGGCUCGACUUUCAACGCGACCCCAGGUCAGGCGGGGUUACCCGCUGAAUUUAAGCAUAUCAAUAAGCGGAGGA
This 391-nucleotide unclassified non-coding RNA is filed under the name soil metagenome. RNAcentral's name for it is "partial contains 5.8S ribosomal RNA, internal transcribed spacer 2, and large subunit ribosomal RNA". The stretch from base 1 to 122 matches the Rfam family "5.8S ribosomal RNA", at positions 35 to 154 of the family's 154-position model. The record is from RNAcentral.